This is a long non-coding RNA of Scylla paramamosain (green mud crab), 733 nucleotides long. RefSeq lists it as uncharacterized. Lineage: Eukaryota; Metazoa; Arthropoda; Malacostraca; Decapoda; Portunidae. The transcript is spliced from 4 exons. The record is from RefSeq and is a predicted model, not a curated record.
AAAAAUCACCACCUGGCAUUCUUUCUUCGGCCAACCGCUGCAAGGUAUAUAAGGCGGGAGAUUCAAGAGGAGGGCAUCAGUUGGUCCCCAGCUGGCAACGAGUAAGGAGCUCCUCACCUGGACUAUCGCAUAAGACAAUGGUGAAGACAACAGUGGCGAUGGUGGUGGUGGCGGUGAUGGUGGUGGUACUGGGAGAACCCGCUUGCGCAUCUCUCCCUGCAGGUAACGGGCCCCAUCGCAACAUGGUGAUAGGAGACGGGGAGGUCGGGCCAGAGUACCUCCACCACCUGCAGUCUGACCUCGCCCAGCUUCGCCAACACCCCUUUCCUGAGAUCCGUGACGUCAGGAUUGUUGACGGAAGCAAUGGCCCAAGACUGGACAUGCCGUUGACUGGGUGCAGGGACUCCAUGGACUGUCACCACCGCUUUGCAAAUUAUUUAGGUCUUCUGGUCAGGAUGAUUGAAACUGGCAAGAAAUGAGGAGGAGGAAGAGGAAGAGGAGGAGGAGGAAGAGGAGGAGGAAGAGGAGGGAUUUGAGAGACUGAGAGAGAGAGAGAGAGAGAAAUAAUUUGUUUUUUUUUUCGUUCGUCUUCUUCUUCUUCUUCUUUUUUCCUCUUCGUAUUAUUUAUCAUUACUACUACUACUACUACUACUACUACUACUACUACUACUACUACUACUGCACGAGGAGUAUAUAAUUUUAUAGAUGGAAAUAAAAAUUAAUUGUAAUGAAA